UUCUCUGUGGAGGUAUGCUUUUAUUUAUUUUGUGGGAGAACAAGGCGUUACAACUUAAUGGAAGUGACAUGGGAGGAUGGACUGUCGAUGCUGAGGUCUAUCCCUUUCCGAAAGAAGAAGACAAGUAAAGGGAAUUUAUUUUAUUCUAUUUCCGGGAUUUGUAUCUUUAAGAUUGUCUUCUAAUUAUUUCAGUCGCGUUCAGUUAGAAGUUAAAGGUUAUGACCCUUUACUUAGUGAAUCUGAUCUCAAGUGCGAGUUGAGUAAACUUUUCUCUUCAUGUGGGAAGGUUGAUCAUGCCAGGAUUUGCAAGAGCUUCUCUAUAGUGUAUCUAGUGGGAGAAGACGCAAUAGACAAAACUUAGUGGGACUGACAUGGGAGGGGGGCACAAGGUAAGUGUUCGGUUUGUUGCUUACCAGGGAAGAACCAUUGUCCACCCCCGCCGCGUCAUAGGCCGCAUCAUUUGUGGCCGCCCAAAUAGAAAACCAAAGAUGGCUGAAAACAAAGAAGAUGAGAAGCCAAAGAAGACAAGAAGCCAAAGUAGAUGGCUGCAAACAAAGAAGAUAAGAAGCCAAAGUAGAAGAAAGCUCGCAGACGAACCUCUUUGGUGUUUUUAACUUGUGCAACCUUCCUUUUAUAUUACUUGUUAUCAUCUGCCUUGGUUACCUAAUGCAUGAUGUUUAUGUCUGGAUGUUAAA
This is a long non-coding RNA of Arabidopsis lyrata subsp. lyrata, 695 nucleotides long. RefSeq lists it as uncharacterized. The record is from RefSeq and is a predicted model, not a curated record. NCBI's taxonomy places the organism in Eukaryota, Viridiplantae, Streptophyta, Magnoliopsida, Brassicales, Brassicaceae. The transcript is spliced from 3 exons.